Molecule: ribosomal RNA, 494 nt
Filed under: uncultured bacterium
Lineage: Bacteria
Description: partial 16S ribosomal RNA
Rfam family: Bacterial small subunit ribosomal RNA
Source: RNAcentral
GACGAACGCUGGCGGCGUGCUUAACACAUGCAAGUCGAACGGAAAGGCCUGCUUUCCCUUGUGGAUUGCGGGUACUCGAGUGGCGAACGGGUGAGUAACACGUGAGUGAUCUGCCCCCAACUUGGGUAUAAGCCUGGGAAACUGGGUCUAAUUCCCGAUAGGACUGCAGGGUGGUGCCUGUGGUGGAAAACGAUUUUCUAGUGGUUGGGGAUGGGCUCGCGGCCUAUCAGCUUGUUGGUGGGGUAAUGGCCUACCAAGGCGGCGACGGGUAGCCGGCCUGAGAGGGUGGACGGCCACAUUGGGACUGAGAUACGGCCCAGACUCCUACGGGAGGCAGCAGUGGGGAAUAUUGCACAAUGGGCGGAAGCCUGAUGCAGCGACGCCGCGUGGGGGAUGACGGCCUUCGGGUUGUAAACUCCUUUCGACCGCGAGGAAGCCACCUGGUUGGAAGGGUGGUGACGGUAGUGGUAGAAGAAGCACCGGCUAACUACGUG